Molecule: ribosomal RNA, 474 nt
Filed under: Meyerozyma guilliermondii
Lineage: Eukaryota; Fungi; Ascomycota; Pichiomycetes; Serinales; Debaryomycetaceae
Description: eukaryotic LSU rRNA
Rfam family: Eukaryotic large subunit ribosomal RNA
Source: RNAcentral
UCUGGCACCUUCGGUGUCCGAGUUGUAAUUUGAAGAUUGUAACCUUGGGGUUGGCUCUUGUCUAUGUUUCUUGGAACAGGACGUCACAGAGGGWGAGAAUCCCGUGCGAUGAGAUGCCCAAUCCUAUGUAAGGUGCUUUCGAAGAGUCGAGUUGUUUGGGAAUGCAGCUCUAAGUGGGUGGUAAAUUCCAUCUAAAGCUAAAUAUUGGCGAGAGACCGAUAGCGAACAAGUACAGUGAUGGAAAGAUGAAAAGAACUUUGAAAAGAGAGUGAAAAAGUACGUGAAAUUGUUGAAAGGGAAGGGUUUGAGAUCAGACUCGAUAUUUUGUGAGCCUUGCCUUCGUGGCGGGGUGACCCGCAGCUUAUCGGGCCAGCAUCGGUUUGGGCGGWAGGAUAAUGGCGUAGGAAUGUGACUUUGCUUCGGUGAAGUGUUAUAGCCUGCGUUGAUGCUGCCUGCCUAGACCGAGGACUGCGA